Molecule: ribosomal RNA, 375 nt
Filed under: uncultured organism
Description: partial 16S ribosomal RNA
Rfam family: Bacterial small subunit ribosomal RNA
Source: RNAcentral
GUAGGUGGCAAGCGUUGUCCGGAAUUAUUGGGCGUAAAGCGCGCGCAGGCGGUUCUUUAAGUCUGAUGUGAAAGCCCACGGCUCAACCGUGGAGGGUCAUUGGAAACUGGAGAACUUGAGUACAGAAGAGGAAAGCGGAAUUCCACGUGUAGCGGUGAAAUGCGUAGAGAUGUGGAGGAACACCAGUGGCGAAGGCGGCUUUCUGGUCUGUAACUGACGCUGAGGCGCGAAAGCGUGGGGAGCAAACAGGGAUUAGAUACCCUGGUAGUCCACGCCGUAAACCGAUGAGUGCUAAGUGUUAGGGGGGUUUCCGCCCCCUUAGUGCUGCAGCUAACGCAUUAAGCACUCCGCCUGGGGAGUACGGCCGCAAGGCUG